UGCCAGAAUGGAGACAGAGGCAGAGG
This 26-nucleotide non-coding RNA is filed under the name Rattus norvegicus (Norway rat). Lineage: Eukaryota; Metazoa; Chordata; Mammalia; Rodentia; Muridae. The record is from RNAcentral.